Molecule: ribosomal RNA, 253 nt
Filed under: uncultured bacterium
Lineage: Bacteria
Description: partial 16S ribosomal RNA
Rfam family: Bacterial small subunit ribosomal RNA
Source: RNAcentral
UACGGAGGGUGCGAGCGUUGUUCGGAAUCACUGGGCGUAAAGCGCGUGUAGGCGGCCCAUUAAGUCUGAUGUGAAAGCCCGGGGCUCACCCCCGGAAGUGCAUUGGAAACUGAUGGACUCGAGUCCCGGAGAGGAGAGUGGAAUUCCUGGUGUAGCGGUGAAAUGCGUAGAUAUCAGGAGGAACACCGGUGGCGAAGGCGGCUACCUGGACAGAAACUGACGCUGAGGCGCGAAAGCUAGGGGAGCAAACAGG